CCUACGGGUGGCAGCAGUGAGGAAUAUUGGUCAAUGGGCGAGAGCCUGAACCAGCCAAGUCGCGUGAAGGAUGACGGCCCUACGGGUUGUAAACUUCUUUUGUCAGGGAGCACUUGGGUCCACGCGUUGGCUUAGCGAGAGUACCUGAAGAAAAAGCAUCGGCUAACUCCGUGCCAGCAGCCGCGGUAAUACGGAGGAUGCGAGCGUUAUCCGGAUUUAUUGGGUUUAAAGGGUGCGUAGGCGGAAUAUCAAGUCCGCGGUAAAAAUCCGGGGCUCAACCCCGUCGUGCCGUUGAAACUGGUGUGCUUGAGUGGGCGAGAAGUAUGCGGAAUGCGUGGUGUAGCGGUGAAAUGCAUAGAUAUCACGCAGAACUCCGAUUGCGAAGGCAGCAUACCGGGGCGCAACUGACGCUGAGGCACGAAAGCGUGGGUAUCGAACAGGAUUAGAUACCCUAGUAGUC
RNAcentral lists this ribosomal RNA (460 nucleotides) under uncultured bacterium. RNAcentral's name for it is "partial 16S ribosomal RNA". It matches the Rfam family "Bacterial small subunit ribosomal RNA", at positions 338 to 795 of the family's 1533-position model. The record is from RNAcentral.